Gossypium arboreum is the source of this 363-nucleotide long non-coding RNA. RefSeq lists it as uncharacterized. The record is from RefSeq and is a predicted model, not a curated record. Lineage: Eukaryota; Viridiplantae; Streptophyta; Magnoliopsida; Malvales; Malvaceae. The transcript is spliced from 2 exons.
AAGGGUCCAGCUCAAAAGAAACAACAAUAAGCUACAGAGAGUUGCUUCUUUUGUAACAAGUCUAGACACGUAAAGAAAUAUUGUACCAAAUAUCAUGCUUGGCGUGCAAAGAAAGGGUUGCCUGAGUUACCGAAUGCCAAGUGAUGAUGAAAGACACAUCUUUGUGGGCGAUGAAAAAUCGGUAUAAGUGGAAGCGAUUGGGCAUUUUAGGUUGUUAUUAGGAACUGGUUUUUAUUUGGAUUUAAAAGAAGCUUUUAUUGUACCGUCAUUUAGACGGAAUUUAGUUUAUGUUUAUUCGUUGGACAAAUUUGGAUAUUAUUGUUUAUUCAGAAACAAUCAAUUUAAUUUGUCUUUAAAUUCAAA